RNAcentral lists this small RNA (125 nucleotides) under Marmota monax (woodchuck). Lineage: Eukaryota; Metazoa; Chordata; Mammalia; Rodentia; Sciuridae. The record is from RNAcentral.
GCCAGGUGUAGUGGCGCAUGCCUAUAAUCCCAGCAACUCAGGAGGCUGAGACAGGAGGAUCAAAAGUUCAAAGCUAGCCUCAGCAAAAGUGAGGCCCUAAGCAACUCAGUGAGACCCUGUCUGUA